Eriocheir sinensis (Chinese mitten crab) is the source of this 9664-nucleotide long non-coding RNA. RefSeq lists it as uncharacterized. Lineage: Eukaryota; Metazoa; Arthropoda; Malacostraca; Decapoda; Varunidae. The record is from RefSeq and is a predicted model, not a curated record. The transcript is spliced from 2 exons.
AGAGAGAGAGAGAGAAGAAAGGAGAGAAAUGGAGGUAAAGGGAGAGGUGAAAUGUGAGGGAGGGAGGGAAGUAUGUUUAGGAGAGGAAAGUUAAAGAGAGGACAGAGGAAGGAGAAAGGAAAGGAAAGAAGGGGAGAGAAAGGGAAAGAAGGUGCGGGAGGUAAGAGUUAUGCGAGGGAGGAGGAGGAAGAGGAGGAGGAGGAGGAGGAGGAGGAGGCGAUGCGACCAUAAGCCACCUGAGGAGAAGGGGAGGAACUUAUGUAAUGCCUUGAGACCUCCUCCUCCUCCUCCUCCCAAUAACCCUGUGGCGUUUUGGGGUGGGGAGGAGGAGGAGGAGACGUUACGUAACAAGUUUGGUUGAAGGGGAAACUGUGGCUGAGAGAGAGAGAGAGAGAGAGAGAGAGAGAGAGAGAGAGAGAGAGAGAGAGAGAGAGAGAGAGAGAGAGAGAGAUCGCGCGCAGCCUCCCAAACCAGAUGAAGAUUUAAGCAGCUCGCAUCAUUAAGAACUCCCUGAGAGACUAAAGAAGAGACGGAUGGGGAGAGAAGGGGAGAUAGAGGAUAGAGGGGAGAGGGGAGGAAAACUACGGAUGAGUGAUGGUAAAUGAGUUAGGGGGACUCCUUUAAGUGGAUAAUAGAUGAGUGGAUUCGUGGAUUACCUGCGAGUGCCAAUCAAGGUGGAGCGGAAGAGAUUGAUUACGAAUUACCUGGAUUUUUUUUAUACCUGUGUCCUCGGGGAUAGGGGAAGAGAGAGGGAGAGGGAAAAAAAUAAGUGAUUGAGGUUAUAGGAGGUAAGGGAGGGAGGAAGUAACAUUGGAGGCUGGAGAGAGAAAGAAGAAGGGGGGAAGAGAUAAGAAGGAGUGUGAGGAGGAAGGGAAGGAAACAAAGGAGGAGAUAGAUUGAGGAAAUAGAUAGAAAAGAGGAGUGUGUAAAGAACAUGGGUAGGAAGAAAUAGAAGCUGAUAGAGAUGGAAAAUGGUUGAGGGAGAGGAGGAAGAAAUGGAGGAAGGAGAAUAGAAUGGAGGAAGAGAAUUGGAUGAAAGAGCUGAAGAGACAGGAAAGGAAGCGGUCUAUAUAUAAAAGAAGCGAGGAGGGAGAAAUCAAUUGUCUUCGUUUCUUCAAGGUUAAAAAAAUAUUCGCAAGGCAUCGUUGAAUAUCAGAUUUUUUUUUCCGUUUUUCCUUUUAUUUGAUCUUGUUUUACUGUCGUUUUUGUCAUCGUUUGGUCACGGUUUUGGUUGGUCUUUCUUUCCAUGUGUUGUUUUUCUAUUUAACCUUUUCGUAACUUUUUUUUCCCCACAUUUUCGUAACUCUGAGGAUCACCUUGUUACCUUGGUCGCUUUUUUUGUUACCACUUUUUCUCUUGUUCAUUUUUUUCCGGUAUGUCACUUUUUCUCCUGUUAUUUUUUCUUUUCUCAACUUUCUCACCACUUCUUACACACACACACACACACACACACACACGACCUUGAGACGUGAUCUGGGAGUGCAAGUGAAAAGUGAGCAGCCACAUCAGCGCCACACACAGGUAAGGCGAAGGUGCACACGUGGACAGGUGUUGUGUGCGCGCGCGAAGGUGCUGCAGGAAAAGGACGUGGGGAGGGGGAGAGGGAGAAGGGAAGUGGAGGAGUGUUAAAUUAAAGGAAUAGUGUAUGUAAGAAGGAGGGAAAGAAAAGUGAAGAGUAAGGAAGGAAGGAAAAGAUUGGAUUGGCCAGGAAAGUACGGAGGGAAGAGAAGAGAAGGAAGGAAUUAAUAGAAUAAGAUGGGAAAGUCUGGGAAGGCGUGGGAAAGGAAAGAAAUGAAGGUACAAGAACCGAAGGAAAGGACGACCAAAAAAAUAAGAAAUGAAAGAUGAAAUACAAAGGAAACGAAUGAAUGAAGGAAGAAAAAGCAAGUACAGGUGUUGGCUUAUAUAAGAAAAUCUAAACAGGUGUGCAUCUCUGGAAUCUCGAAAAAAAAAGAAAAAAAAAGUAUAUAAAUAAUCAGCUAUAAAGUAGAACUGUUGAAGUUUUAGUGAAAGUGGAAGAACAAGUAUAUACCACAAGACAAUCAGAAGAGUUGUGGAGAGGGAGGAAGAAAUGGUGGAGGUGACUAGGUACAUUUAUCAGACGGGAGUGGAGGUGGUGGAGAGGUUUUAGUACAUACAAGUGGAAGAAGUUGAAAAGCACAUUCCACAAGACGGGGAUGAUGAGUACGGGAGAGGGGGAGGGAAUGGAGGUAACUAAGGGGAGGAGGUGGAGUGGAAGGGAGAUGUGGAAUCGGAGAGGGAAAGGAGGUGGGGGAGGAGGAGGUAGAGGGGUGACGGGGUGCAUAUAUUUCUGAGGUUGAAGGUUGCACGGGAUGGGGAUUGGGAAGCUGCUGGAAUAUUUUAUCAGCGGUCAGUAGCAGGGAUGGGAUUGGGGAGGAAAGGAGGGAUGGAGAAGUGGAGGAAAAGAUCAGAAGAGAAGAUGACGUACUCUCCUUUCCUCCUUUAUUUCCGUCCUCUACCUUUCUUCCUCCCAUUCCUUUUCAGUCCACACUUUCAUCCUAGACUAUCCUAUCCUUCCUUCCUUCCUUUACUCUGAUUUAUACAAGCUGGGUUUAGUAGAGGUAGUGUUUUUUAUGGUGAUUGUAGUGGUUGAGAAAGUGUGGAUUAUGGCGGGGAACUGAUGUAUAGGGGGUGGAGGGUUUAUGGAGGAGGUGGAGGAAAAAUCUGUGUUGAGAGGAGGGAUGGAGAGAGGGAGAAAUGAUAAGGGAAAAGGGAAGAGGAAUCGUUAGAAGGAAUGGAGAGGAGUGGAGUGCAACAUUCUGAGCUGUGGUUUUGAUGGAAGAAAGAAGAGGAGGAGGAGGAGGAGGAGCAACUAAAGUCUUGGCGGCUGUGGUGGAGGACAAGUGGAGAGGGAGAGUGCAUAGAACUGGAAGUGGAGUGUUGGGGAGUGUGAGGGGGAGAGGGAGAAGACCGGUGCGGGGAGUAAAAACCAGACCACCUUGAGUCCUGCCGGCCGGUCGGGAGCAUCAUACCUUGCUCGGGUCCUCCUCCUCCACCUCCUCCUCCUCCUCCUCCUCCUCCUCAUCCACCGGGAAAAGUUGUUCAUGUUAAAAUCAUCCGUCUCUGUUUUGGUUUGUCUGUUUAUAUCGUUUUCUAUCUUUGUGUUUUCUCUCUCUCUCUCUCUCUCUCUCUCUCUCUCUCUCUCUCUCUCUCUCUCGCUCGCAAAAGUUGAGUGGAUGAACCGUCUCCACUGUCGCCGCCGCCGCCCUCGUCUGUGCCGCACCUUGUUUUCCGCGGGCAAGGUCACGGCAGUACCUGAGUAGGGAAGAGGAGGAGGAGGAGGACGACGAUAAUGGCUCUGGGGUCCUCGUAUUCAUUGUGCUCACACCGCCGUUAGGAGAUUGAGACUCAUUGGCCCUCACCUGGCAUCCGGGAGGUAAUAAGCGCCUCUUUUUACCUGUCUUCACCUGUUUCCGUCUCCCCUUCAUACCAUCUCCCCUUUCCCGUUUAUCUUCGCCGUUUCCUUCUUCUUAUUAAUUAUCUGGGAAAGGUGACAUUGAAGAAGGAAAAUGCGUAUGUGUCGUCGGAACGGAAUGCUGUUUAAGGGGAAUAGUGAUGAAACACAUUGAGGGAGAGAACACUAGAAAAGAAACAGACAAGGGUAGGAAAGAGGAGAAUGUCAGUAGAUUUUAGAUGUGUGAGUAUUAGGAGGAGUAUAAGUAAGGAGGAACUUAGGAGGUGCAAUAGUGUCCUGAUGGAGAAGCAACAGGAGGAGGGAAAAGGAAAGUGGAGGGGAAUAGGGCGAGGCAAGAGUGUUUGGGGAUGGAAGAGGAACAAGAAUAGGGAAAGGGGAAGAGGGAGGUUGGGGAGUGGAGGGAACGUCAGCAGUGUUUACAGAGAUGCUCGUGGUCUCUCUCUCCUGUCAUGACCGGUUCGUGUGUGUGUGUGUGUGUGUGUGUGUGUGUGUGUGUGUGUGCUCAGGUGUGUUCCAGGUGGUCGCGGCAGGGCAAGCUCACCUCUCUGCACUAAUUUUACUCUUAAUAUCCCGCGUGGUUUUAUGCUCCAAAAUAGAAAAAAAAGUAAAGUAAUUCAUUAAUGAUAUUCAGCGUUCAUUAGGCUGGUCAUUUUUCCUGACAUCGGCGUAAUUCAAAUGUUCGGGCGGCGGAGCAUUAGCCUCGGCUGCAGGAGCUGGCGCACAAUAGGCCAUUCCCCCGGCCCGGAGAUUAAUACAGCUUUAAGCACUUAGCCCCAGAAUUAGUUAUGGCACAGGUCUAUGUUCAGGAAAUUAAAAGUGACCUGCUCCCCGCGCCACAGGUCACCCGCUAGGACGACCUGCUGGUGAGGGCUACGCGGCCAAACCUGUAGUAGUAGUAGUUGCCUUUGCGGGUUGUGCACUGCAGGAAACGAGUGAGGGGAGAGGGGGGGUGGAGGGCGUGUCGGGGUGGGCCAGAGGGAAGGAUGACGGUACUUUUUGUUUCCUCUGCACAAUGUCUCGCCUUUCUACUUCUGUCUUUCUUUCCCUAUAUUUCUGUCUCCCGUUUUCCGUCUGUCUUCGCCGUUUUCUUAUUAUUAUCUUAUUUCUUGCUUCUUAUUGUUCUUUCCUCCUCUCUUCUAUACUACAGUUCCUCUCCUUUUCGUAAAUAACAACAAACAAGGCCGCCAGUGAUACCAGUUUUGGGGGUAACUACUUUCCGGCAUGCUGAUGAUGGUGGUGAUGAGUGAGAAUGGUGUUAGGAGGUGGGGUGAGGGUGGUAUUCUCCCUGCUGGUGGUGGUGGUGGUACUGCUGCUCCCUGCUCCCCGUGACCCCGAGAAGCUGUUAAAAAUGAAGGGAAUAAAAAAAGAGGAGAAAAAAACUAACCAGACACGAAUUCCCACUUUCAUCCGUUUUAUACGCCCGCCGCUGACUGGCUCGCCGGCCCGCCCCUCUCCAUCCGUCUCUCUCUCUCUCUCUCCCUCUCUCUCUCUCUCUCCAUUAUCCUUCACUUUCCUUCCUCCCUCACACUUGCUCUGUUCACAUGCUCCCUUCACUCAUGUCGCUCUCCCUCCCUCCCUUUCCUCCCCUGCCCACUCUCCCCUCUUUCUGUCCUCUCCUUUCCUCUUUCUGUCUCCCUUUCACACUUUAUCCUCCCCUCCUGUCUUCCCUUGUUGUCAGUUCUCUUUCCCUGUUGCAGUCACCUCUCUCCGUCUACUUAUUUUCACUCCUCCCUCUUCCCUUCUCCUCUUUACUGUUGUUUAUUUUCCCUGUCUUCUCUUCCUUCCUUGCACACUUUCUUGUUUUUUUUCUCCUUCCCGUCAUCGUUUUCCCCUUUUCCCUCUCCCUCUCUCUUUACUCUUGUCAUUUCCGCCACUUCCUGUUCCUUUAUUUUUGUCUCUCCCUUUUUCCCUAUAUUCUGCAGUCCCUCUUUCGUAACCCAUCAGCGACACCCUAUACCUCUCAUGUCCUGUCCCAUCCUACCCUUCCCUCGCCCAUUUCCUCAAGUCCACUCCCUCCCUUGACCUGCAGUACUCCCAUUUCCCUCCCUUACUCCCUACCCUACUUGCAUAAUCCACUCCCAUACCCUCCGCCAUGGUUACUCCUCUGAGACUGUCCCUUCUUUUCCCCUUCAGUCCCAAACCAUCCAGCCGUCCCUUCGUCCCUUUACGUAUCACCUUUCUCACUCUACCCCUUUAUAGAAUUUGAUGUCGCCCAUAUCUCACCCACGUCAGUCACUCCCUUCCCCUCACGUCCCGUUCCGCAGCGUCCCUUCCUUAUCCCUUCUCGUUCAUCAUACUCCCCUUACUCUCCAUCUCUCUCUCCCCCUCCCCGCCCUUGCCUCCUAUUUCAGUGUGUGUGUGGAAAGGCUCAAAGGCGUUCUGCAUCACGUGGACAAACAGGGGGACGAAUGGUGGACGCGGACUAGAGAUUCUUGGAAAAAAAAACUAAAAACUUUGAAAAAAAAAUGUAAUACUUUUGAUUUUUUUGAUUUUUUUUUUUUUUUGCGCUGUGAGGGAGGACGAGGUGAUGAAUGGUGUCUGGAAGCAUAGAAGACACGGGCGUGGCUUGGGGAAAGGGAAUAAGAGAGGAAAGGAUAGGCAAGGAAGGGAGAGAGGGAAGUAUAGGAAGGUAAGGGAGAGAGGGAUGGAUAGGUAAGGUACGGGAGAGAGGGAAGGAUAGGUAAGGUACGGGAGAGAGGGAAGGAUAGGUAAGGUAAGGGAGAUAGAGGGAAGGAGAGGUGAAGAAGGGAGAGAGGGAAGGAGAGGUGAGGAAGGGAGGGGAGGUAUGGUGACGAGGUUAAGUCAGAUAAUGUGUGUGUGUGUGUGUGUGUGUGUGUGUGUGUGUGUGUGUGUGUGUGUGUGUGUUUGGGGGUGAUUGAGGAGAGUAAGUCAUUAGGUAUACAGGUAAAAGUGGAUGACGUCAAGGCAAGUAACAUGCUGGUCAGGUGUGUGUGUGUGUGUGUGUGUGUGUUGACAAGGGCACGUAGGCUUGUCGUGGACGGGCAGGCGGCGGGCACGAGGGUGGGUGGUUGGGGUGGGUGUGCGUGGCGACUGAGCGGCGACAUCGGCGGACCGGGCGGGGGUGAGGGUGGGAGGUGUAACACUAGCUGAGGGUGUUGCGUGGGAGGCGGCCCCUGCGUCCACUCCCUCGCACGCCACAUGGAGGGAAACGCUGAUGGAGGAGGAGCCAAUAGCAAUCAGCCAGUCAGUCAGUUACCCAGCCAAUCAGUCAGUUACCCAUCCAGCCAAUCAGUCAAUCCGUCACCCAACCUGCCAGUCAGUCAGCCAAUAGCGAUCAGCCAGGCAGUAGCAAUCGGGCAAUCAGUCAGUCAGUCAGCAAGUUAGGCAGUAGCGAUCAGCCAUUCAGUCAGCUACUCAGGCAGUCAGGCAGCAGUUGGUGUUCUUGUUUAACAUUCCGCGUGUCAGCAGGAGCUUAAACUUUGCCGCAGGAGCGAAAAAAAAAAAAAGGAAGUCCUGAAAAAUGCUCAAAGUUAAACAGUAAAAGUUCCAACACACCACAAGGCUGCAGUAAAGUGAUACAUCGCAUGACUGGAGCUGGAAUUGGAUAGUCUCUGCCACACACACACACACACACACACACACACCAUCGCCAGAUCAAAGCAUGUCAGUUCCGGUUAAGAUCGGAUUGUUUCUAUGAUGCAGGACACGUGUUCUUGCGUGGUGGGUUACCUGCAUGUCCUUUGUCUUGAGGGAGGCAUUGAGUCGUUUGUAUUCGUAGCGGAGGCCCAGUGAGGCGCGGCGAGGGGAAGUGACGACGCAAGGAGAAGGGAGGGGAGAAGAGGGGACAGGGAGGGGAGGAGGGAUAACACACUAGCAAGGGGUAAAUGCGUUGAAGUUUGUUACGGGUCAUUGAGUUCAGUGGUGAUGGUGGUUUAUAGUGUAAUGAGGAGCAGGUAGGCAGGCAGGUAUUAAGCAGGUGAAUGAUUAGGUAGGUAAACUUAUUAUGCUGUUGUACAAUCACUGUUAUCCUAUAUUAUUUUUUUUAUCAAGCUGUAACGGUGAUAGUAUUGGGAGGGCAGGGACAGGCAGGCAGGUAAUAUGAGCAGGUAGGCAAGCACGUGCAAUCUCAUCUUGUUCAUCAUCUCUUAGCCGUCCCGUUGUUGUUUUUUUGCCAAUGUUAUAAAAGAGGUAGUAUGAGGUACUUGUGACAUGAGCAUAUGUAUUAUUUUUUUCAUAUUUCGUAGUGGAAAUAUGCAAUUUAUAAAGAAAUCUUUCCCUCUAAGGUUGCGUUUGUUCUGUCAAAGGCUGUUUGUAUGGCUACCUUAGUCUGCAUAAUGCCUGUGUGUGUGUGUGUGUGUGUGUGUGUGUGUGUUCUUGCAGUCAACUUUGUGCGCUGAAUUCCAUUAGGAUGUCUUCUUUGCCCGGUGGGACGUGUGUUGUGUAAGUAAUUAAAUUCAGCUCCUCAGUUUGACCACCGUGCAAACAGGAGUGUGUGUGUGUGCGCGUGUGGCUUGCGGAGGGGAUUUUCACGUGUCUGGGUAAUGUAGGGAGCAGCGUCAUGGGUGGGGCCCCUCUCCCCUCCCUCCCCCUCCUCUCCCGUCCCCUACCCGUCCCGCGCCGCUCCCCAGCUGGUGUCGUGAGCGGGGCUGCUGGGAAGUUGGGAACUGGCUCCCGCGUGUAUGUAUUCACGUCUUUCGUUUCUACUCCUUUUCCACUAACUUGACGACAGGCUUCUGUGUCUCCCUGCGUAAUAUACUGACGGCAACAACAACAAAACGUUGUAAUGGUUAUUUUAGCUUCCCAUAAACAAAUUUACGUUAAGAACGUUACAUGUUGACCUUGAAAGUUCAAAUUAUAGUCACUUUUUCAAGUGGGCGAAGUUAGACUGUGUCGUUUAAUUUAGAGUGCGAGCGAUGAGUCAGUGCAGCCACCGGUCAGUGGAGGAAGGGUGUGGCGUGCGUCACCGCUGAACUCACCGAAUGGCCGAGGCAGCGUGAGGCGUGGCGGGGAGCACUGACUCCAGGCAGGCCCUUGAGGCGCGUCACAGCCUUCUGCUGGGACGCCAGAGCGGCGCGCCUCCCUCCGCCGCAGGGCACCACAUGCUACUCCCGCGCUUUUUCUCGUUUCGUCACACGGUUAACUAACCGCAUCGGUGGCGGGCUAGCCAUUGAUUCAGAAGGUGGCCACGUGUGUGUGAGGACUAUAUUAUCAAGGCUGCUAAAUGAUAGGAAAUAGAGGGAAGGGUGUAGGCUGCUCGUGGCAGAGAACCUCAUUGCCACCCCCACCCCCCUCCAUUCCUUAUCCCCAGCACACGCGGUGGAAGGAUCGGGGUGGCUCUGUUUCUUCAAAAGUGAGUUGAUUAGAAUGUCUCAGGCGCCGUGAGGUGCCGAAGGUGUGUACGUGAGGAGACGAGAGGAAACGAAAGAUAGUGGGCGUAAGUUACCAGAGCUGGGAGUGAGUGAAGGAGCGGGAGGGAGGGAGGCAUUGGCGGGAACGGGGGAGCAGGAGCGCCUUUCCCAGCUUGGUUACACCCGCCGCACAGCUCUACUCAUCCCAGUCUUCACCAAUAUCAAGCGCCACAUACCACAACGCAACGCUCUGACUGCUGCACUGGGCCGACGAGAACGAAAAUAGAUAAAAGGAAAUGAAUAAUGGACGAGAGAAUGACGAAGAGAAAGUGUGACGAAGAGAAAGAAUGAUGUACAGUAAAUUUAUGGAAUGGAAGUGUUUGGUCGGACGCUGCAGAGUUUCAAAGAGACCUCGGCCGUGCGAAGGUGCCUCAGCCGUGCCGUAUGAAGUAGAAGUGUUUGUUUGGACGCUGCAGUGUUUCAAAGGCGCCUCGGCCGUGCAAAAGGUGCCUCAGCCGUGCCGUGGUUUUGGUGAGGCGCGUCCGUCCUGCCGCAACCCUGGAACGACCGCCACACCCCGCCGUAGGUAAGGAAGGAGGCGUUGUGUCGCUGCUGCUGCCGUUGUCCCGCCGUCACCUCGCUGCGGGGACGAGCGUCAAGGGUCACACUGAGCUGCGCUUCUUUUUAUUUGUUCCUCUGCUGCCCAGGGCUCUGCUCCACACGCUGUUUUUUGUUACUUGUGUUACUUGUUGUUACUUUUUUCUCAUGAUACGACAUGGCCAUUUUUUUAGCGCUGAGUACAUCAAAGGUUUUCCACUUGGAGGCCUGAAUGCUUUUGUUUGUGUGGGGAGAGUUGAGUUGUUUUGCGUGGCGUGUGUGUGUGUACGUGUGUGUGUGUGUGUGUGUGUGUGUGUGUGUG